UACAGAGGGGGCAAGCGUUAUUCGGAAUUAUUGGGCGUAAAGGGCGCGUAGGCGGCUUGGCAAGUGGAUGGUGAAAUCCCUCGGCUUAACCGAGGAACUGCCGUCCAAACUGCUUUGCUUGAGGCCGGGAGAGGCGAGUGGAAUUCCCAGUGUAGCGGUGAAAUGCGUAGAUAUUGGGAGGAACACCAGUGGCGAAGGCGGCUCGCUGGACCGGUUCUGACGCUGAUGCGCGAAAGCGUGGGGAGCGAACAGG
RNAcentral lists this ribosomal RNA (253 nucleotides) under uncultured bacterium. RNAcentral's name for it is "partial 16S ribosomal RNA". It matches the Rfam family "Bacterial small subunit ribosomal RNA", at positions 524 to 776 of the family's 1533-position model. The record is from RNAcentral.